Molecule: long non-coding RNA, 1488 nt
Organism: Vigna radiata var. radiata (mung bean)
Lineage: Eukaryota; Viridiplantae; Streptophyta; Magnoliopsida; Fabales; Fabaceae
Exons: 2
Source: RefSeq, a predicted model, not a curated record
UUGAAUAGUAGAAUCAGUACAAAUCAAUGCAUUUCUAUCGUUGCAAAUCAUUGCAAAUCACCGCAAACGAACAAGAUUAAUCUCGCAUUCCAUCCGUGCUAAUUCCUAAUAGUAAAUCACCUCCAAACCAACAGGGUGUUAAGGUCAAUCUAAUAUUGUCCUUCGAAUCCUACUUACUGCACCCCAGGUUUUUACUUCUGCACCUCCCUAACUUUUGAAAAUAUCCAUUCUACCCUUCAGUGAAUAGUAAAAUGAAAUCCUAAUUAUACAAUUCACUUUUUCACUCUUCUUCACCUUGUGUCUGCUUCGUCUUCACUUCCUCUGCACCUCUCUCCCACGGCUGUUGCAAAUCUGUGCACCUCCAUUGGGGUUUUUAAUCAAAAGUUUCCGUCCUCCACUCAUAAGCAUCGCGAGUGAACCUGUAUCUCCUCUCUUGCUUUCGUUUUCUUGUAGUUGCCCCUCCUCUUCGUGUUCGUGUAGGUGUGGUGUUCGAGUGUUGCUGAAAGGCUUUUUUUGAGAGAAGGUAGGCGGUCAGAGAACUGCACCUCCAAAAGUGGUUCGCUGCAUCUGCGUGUCUUCCCUUUCGUUCUUUUAUAAGGAUUAUGGCAAGGACAAGAGGUGCCGAUACCGUAGGUGAAGGCAGUAGUGGCGUUGAAAGACAAAGACCCGUGGCAUCAAUUCGAAGAAGGAAUCAUUGUGAAGCUCUUGAUAUAGACCUCGUUAGCUGAUCCUGCUGUAGUGGAUUCUGUAGGUGUAGGUGGAGGUGAGGCUGUAGUUGUAGAACAACCGGCAUUAAGGGUGAAGAGGUUAAAGAACGAUUUGUUGGAGGUCCAUUGGAUACUUCUCUACUAGUGGACUAUGUUGAUCAUGUGGCAUUGAAGAUAUGGAAUGGGGAGAUUAGUAAAUAUAAUUAAGUUUGAUGUUGUUUUGAUGGUAUUGCAUUUUAUAUAGUUUGACAAAUACACUAUGUGUAGGACCGAGGAGAACUGAAAUUGGUGUCUCGUGGAAGAAAGUCGAGUAAACUAGAUAUUCUUGAUGGGCAUGUUGAGGAGUUUGUUCGAAAUUCUAGGUUGUUGCCUUUAUGUAACAUCAGGUAUGAGACAAUGGACAAAGGCUUGUUAUCAUCAUUUGUGGAGAGGUGACAUAGAGACACAAACACAUUUCAUAUCUCCAUUGGUGAAAUGACGAUAACACUGGAUGAUGUUGAUGCAUUACUUCAUCUUCUGAUUAAGGGACAGUUUUGUCCAUUUGUCACUUUGGAGUUUGUUGUCGCUGUACCAGUCUUGGUGGACUUGUUAGGUGCGAAAAGGUCAAAUGUCACCUUAGAAAUGAGGCAUUGUCGGGGGCCACUUGUUAGUUUGGUGAUGCUUGCUUUGCCCACACAAAACGAUUAGGAGGUUAUGCAACACUUUUACAAGUACUUUGUAUAGAGAUUGCAUUUAUAUUUAAUUUCUAAGUUAUUCGAAUGAUGUGAUGUUCAUUUUCAUU